RNAcentral lists this microRNA precursor (65 nucleotides) under Monopterus albus (swamp eel). Its description in RNAcentral is "Mal-Mir-199-P1b-as_pre stem-loop". The record is from RNAcentral. Lineage: Eukaryota; Metazoa; Chordata; Actinopteri; Synbranchiformes; Synbranchidae.
UAACCAAUGUGCAGACUACUGUACACCAGUAUGACAAUGAACAGGUAGUCUGAACACUGGGUGGA